This 462-nucleotide long non-coding RNA is filed under the name Pan troglodytes (chimpanzee). RNAcentral describes it as "long non-coding RNA NONPTRT003156". Lineage: Eukaryota; Metazoa; Chordata; Mammalia; Primates; Hominidae. The record is from RNAcentral.
UUGUCUUACAGGCAGCCAUUAGGCUGCAGCUUGCGUGCACAUUCUUCAGCACCCACAUCAGUGGUGCCUGUGCAUGUCAAUCUGAGUCUCAGAUCACUAUGCAGGCAAUAGUAAAAGAAAACUGGGAUGUUUAAAUGACAUUCUGGUGACUUUCAAUCACAGUAUUCAAAAGAGCACAGAUUCUAAGCUGAAAUUCUGCUUUUCAAAAUUGUGUUGCUUGGCAGUUACGACCAGGUUAUAAUCUUAGGAUGAAAAAAUGGGCACUCCUUUUGGAAAGACCUGGCAUAAAUCACUGAGAGCUGUGCCCUGUGCAACUGUGUUCAUAAAAAAUGGGGGUUCAUUUUAGGAUUAAUCAGGUCGAUCAUUCUCAUAUUAGCUAAGAAUUCCAUAAUGUGCAAGAAAAAGAAUUACUUUAUUAAGAGGAUUUUUAUCACAGCUUUUCUACAAGGAGACAAAUUGCAC